Molecule: ribosomal RNA, 449 nt
Filed under: uncultured bacterium
Lineage: Bacteria
Description: partial 16S ribosomal RNA
Rfam family: Bacterial small subunit ribosomal RNA
Source: RNAcentral
AGCGAACGCUGGCGGCAGGCCUAACACAUGCAAGUCGAACGAAGCCUUCGGGCUUAGUGGCGGACGGGUGAGUAACACGUGGGAUCGUACCUUUUGGUUCGGAAUAACGCAGAGAAAUUUGCGCUAAUACCGAAUGAGCCCCUAGGGGGAAAGAUUUAUCGCCGAAGGACCGGCCCGCGUUGGAUUAGGUAGUUGGUGUGGUAAAGGCGCACCAAGCCUACGAUCCAUAGCUGGUCUGAGAGGAUGAUCAGCCACACUGCGACUGAGACACGGCCCAGACUCCUACGGGAGGCAGCAGUGGGGAAUCUUGCGCAAUGGGCGAAAUCCUGACGCAGCCAUGCCGCGUGAAUGAUGAAGGUCUUAGGAUUGUAAAAUUCUUUUACCAGGGACGAUAAUGACGUUACCUGGAGAAAAAGCCCCGGCUAACUUCGUGCCAGCCGCCGCGGUAA